GACCUCCCAGGAUCGCAUCUGGAGAAUGGCUAGUAUUCUGCCAGCUUCGGAGACGGGAGGGAAAACAACCCAUUCCAUUCCCAGUUUGCUCAGUAGCUGGUGAUUGGAAGCUACUCUACGACAGUG
Echinops telfairi (small Madagascar hedgehog) is the source of this 126-nucleotide small nucleolar RNA. The record is from RefSeq and is a predicted model, not a curated record. NCBI's taxonomy places the organism in Eukaryota, Metazoa, Chordata, Mammalia, Afrosoricida, Tenrecidae.